UAGGGAAUCUUCGGCAAUGGGGGCAACCCUGACCGAGCAACGCCGCGUGAGUGAAGAAGGUUUUCGGAUCGUAAAGCUCUGUUGUAAGAGAAGAACGUGUGUGAGAGUGGAAAGUUCACACAGUGACGGUAACUUACCAGAAAGGGACGGCUAACUACGUGCCAGCAGCCGCGGUAAUACCUAGGUCCCGAGCGUUGUCCGGAUUUAUUGGGCGUAAAGCGAGCGCAGGCGGUUUAAUAAGUCUGAAGUUAAAGGCAGUGGCUUAACCAUUGUUCGCUUUGGAAACUGUUAAACUUGAGUGCAGAAGGGGAGAGUGGAAUUCCAUGUGUAGCGGUGAAAUGCGUAGAUAUAUGGAGGAACACCGGUGGCGAAAGCGGCUCUCUGGUCUGUAACUGACGCUGAGGCUCGAAAGCGUGGGGAGCAAACAGG
Molecule: ribosomal RNA, 429 nt
Filed under: bacterium
Lineage: Bacteria
Description: partial 16S ribosomal RNA
Rfam family: Bacterial small subunit ribosomal RNA
Source: RNAcentral